RNAcentral lists this ribosomal RNA (443 nucleotides) under uncultured bacterium. RNAcentral describes it as "partial 16S ribosomal RNA". It matches the Rfam family "Bacterial small subunit ribosomal RNA", at positions 338 to 795 of the family's 1533-position model. The record is from RNAcentral.
CCUACGGGAGGCAGCAGUGGGGGAUAUUGGACAAUGGGGGGAACCCUGAUCCAGCGACGCCGCGUGAGUGAAGAAGUAUUUCGGUAUGUAAAGCUCUGUCAGCAGGGAAGAAAGCAAUGACGGUACCUGACCAAGAAGCCCCGGCUCACUACGUGCCAGCAGCCGCGGUAAUACGUCGGGGGCAAGCGUUAUCCGGAAUUACUGGGUGUAAAGGGGGCGUAGACGGCUGUGCAAGUCUGGAGUGAAAGGCGGGGGCCCAACCCCCGGACUGCGCGGGAAACUGUAUGGCUGGAGUGCAGGAGAGGGAAGCGGAAUUCCUAGUGUAGCGGGGAAAUGCGUAGAUAUGAGGAGGAACACCAGUGGCGAAGGCGGCUUACUGGACUGUAACGGACGUGGAGGCUCGAAAGCGUGGGGAGCAAACAGGAUUAGAUACCCGGGUAGUC